UUGUAUAUCUUCUCUUCACCUUAUAACAAACAGAGCAAGCUGGUUUUGGUAACCUUUCUUUUCUUUUCCUGAAGGUGGUGUUACAGCUGAAGCUUGUGUUUCCUCCCUUGCGUCAAACUCUGCCUUGUUUUCUGCACAUCCUCUCUUUGUCUAUUUCGCUGCCUCUUGCUUCCACCCUGGGAAGUGCACACAGAAUGCCAGUCACGGAGUGGGAGCAAGUGUGAGUUUGGUACUUAGGGCCAGCUCGGGGAAUCCCCAGGUGAGGUUUUCCUAGCUCUUGGCCAGACUUCCUGCUGGAGCCUCGAAGGCAAUUGGCAAGAUCAGUGUCACUUUAAGAUCAGUGUCUCUGAUAUUCUCAUCUCCCUCUCUCCCAAUCUCCCUUCUCGGACUCACAGAAUUCGUACGUUUAUGCUCUGGGUUGUGUGGGAGAGAAGGCCUUCUCUAGCAGUGUCCUGCACAAAUUGGGGAAGCCAGGCGCUCACUUGGUCUCCCUUUUUUUUCUCACGGGAGGAAUACCAGCUUUCUUUUUUUUCUCUAAAGUGUGCCACCUUCUGGGAGGAAUAAUGCUUGCAACGUUCCUCCCACCCACUCCAAGGCAUCCAAACUCUUCUAGGUUGUUUUUUGUUUUUUCGCACUGGAACUUUUCCUCCAUAAACCUGAACUUUCCUGAAGGCCCUCUUGUCUGCAAAUAUCUGCCCAAGUCUGUGUUUUCCAGGCACCACGAGCAAAAAGGGUUAGAUCUGGUUCACAGGAUCCUGCUGGUUCCACUGGGGUCUAUCUGCCUAUUAUCCAGUUCACAGGUUCCGAGGCAUAUAUCUAAAGCACGGGUUCCAUUUCUCAACCGGCUGUGACCUUGAUCCAUGACCAAGCCCCUUGAGCAGAAUGUUUUCAUAUGAACAGUAAGUAUAAGAAGAGCGGUUUCACUGCCUAGUGACAAGGUUCAAAUGAGAUAACAUGAAAGUCUUUGCCAGCAUGUGAAGCUCCUAGUAAAUGUUAAAAUAUGUUGUUCUUGGGGCGCCUGGGUGGCGCAGUCGGUUGGGCGUCCGACUUCAGCCAGGUCACGAUCUCGCGGUCCGUGAGUUCGAGCCCCGCGUCAGGCUCUGGGCUGAUGGCUCAGAGCCUGGAGCCUGUUUCAGAUUCUGUGUCUCCCUCUCUCUCUGCCCCUCCCCCAUUCAUGCUCUGUCUCUCUCUGUCCCAAAAAUAAACGUUGAAAAAAAAAAUUAAAAAAAAAAUAU
Molecule: long non-coding RNA, 1235 nt
Filed under: Felis catus (domestic cat)
Lineage: Eukaryota; Metazoa; Chordata; Mammalia; Carnivora; Felidae
Description: lncRNA (ENSFCAG00000049817.1)
Source: RNAcentral